This 453-nucleotide ribosomal RNA is filed under the name Campylobacter gracilis. RNAcentral describes it as "bacterial SSU rRNA". It matches the Rfam family "Bacterial small subunit ribosomal RNA", at positions 29 to 497 of the family's 1533-position model. The record is from RNAcentral. Lineage: Bacteria; Pseudomonadati; Campylobacterota; Epsilonproteobacteria; Campylobacterales; Campylobacteraceae.
AGUGAACGCUGGCGGCGUGCCUAAUACAUGCAAGUCGAACGGAAUUUAAAAGAGCUUGCUCUUUUAAAUUUAGUGGCGCACGGGUGAGUAAUAUAUAGCUAAUCUGCCCCUUGCUGGAGGACAACAGUUAGAAAUGACUGCUAAUACUCCAUACUCCUUUUUACCAUAAGAUAAAUCGGGAAAGAAUUUCGGCAAGGGAUGAGACUAUAUCGUAUCAGCUAGUCGGUGGGGUAACGGCCUACCGAGGCUAUGACGCGUAACUGGUCUGAGAGGAUGAUCAGUCACAUUGGAACUGAGACACGGUCCAAACUCCUACGGGAGGCAGCAGUAGGGAAUAUUGCGCAACGGGGGAAACCCUGACGCAGCAACGCCGCGUGGAGGAUGACACUUUUCGGAGCGUAAACUCCUUUUGUUAGGGAAGAAUAAUGACGGACCUAACGAAUAAGCACCGCA